This 749-nucleotide ribosomal RNA is filed under the name Cryocola sp. RNAcentral's name for it is "bacterial SSU rRNA". It matches the Rfam family "Bacterial small subunit ribosomal RNA", at positions 72 to 834 of the family's 1533-position model. Lineage: Bacteria; Bacillati; Actinomycetota; Actinomycetes; Micrococcales; Microbacteriaceae. The record is from RNAcentral.
CCAAGAGCUUGCUCUUGGGGAUUAGUGGCGAACGGGUGAGUAACACGUGAGUAACCUGCCCUUGACUCUGGGAUAACCUCCGGAAACGGAAGCUAAUACCGGAUACGAACUGCGAAGGCAUCUUCAGCAGUUGGAAAGAACUUCGGUCAAGGAUGGACUCGCGGCCUAUCAGGUAGUUGGUGAGGUAAAGGCUCACCAAGCCUACGACGGGUAGCCGGCCUGAGAGGGUGACCGGCCACACUGGGACUGAGACACGGCCCAGACUCCUACGGGAGGCAGCAGUGGGGAAUAUUGCACAAUGGGCGCAAGCCUGAUGCAGCAACGCCGCGUGAGGGAUGACGGCCUUCGGGUUGUAAACCUCUUUUAGUAGGGAAGAAGCGAAAGUGACGGUACCUGCAGAAAAAGCACCGGCUAACUACGUGCCAGCAGCCGCGGUAAUACGUAGGGUGCGAGCGUUGUCCGGAAUUAUUGGGCGUAAAGAGCUCGUAGGCGGUCUGUCGCGUCUGCUGUGAAAACCCGAGGCUCAACCUCGGGCCUGCAGUGGGUACGGGCAGACUAGAGUGCGGUAGGGGAGAAUGGAAUUCCUGGUGUAGCGGUGGAAUGCGCAGAUAUCAGGAGGAACACCGAUGGCGAAGGCAGUUCUCUGGGCCGUAACUGACGCUGAGGAGCGAAAGCGUGGGGAGCGAACAGGAUUAGAUACCCUGGUAGUCCACGCCGUAAACGUUGGGCGCUAGAUGUGGGGACCAUUC